RNAcentral lists this long non-coding RNA (293 nucleotides) under Capsicum annuum. Its description in RNAcentral is "long non-coding RNA (CANN_LNC004229)". Lineage: Eukaryota; Viridiplantae; Streptophyta; Magnoliopsida; Solanales; Solanaceae. The record is from RNAcentral.
AUUGUGAAAUUAGGUUUUUGCUCUCAAAAUCCUUAAAUCGUGGUUCAUUUUUAAGAAGAUGAACUGUUGUUGUGAAUAAUUUCUCCCCUUUACUUGUUAUGUUUGGGUCGGGUUGUUGGAAAUUAGAUUGCGUGGAUACUUAGGUGAAAAUUAGAUUGGGUUUUGAAAAUAAUUAGAUUUUACUUAAUUAAAUUUCAAAUCAAUGACGAGCUGUCAUGUGUUAAAGUCGAAGCCUAAUCAAAUGUCUAUUAAUUAGAAGGGUAUUUGUGAGCCAUAUAGAUGGAUGGAAGGAC